This 333-nucleotide ribosomal RNA is filed under the name Tremella teloschistis. RNAcentral's name for it is "Tremella sp. AMM-2022x partial large subunit ribosomal RNA". It matches the Rfam family "Eukaryotic large subunit ribosomal RNA", at positions 1 to 329 of the family's 3401-position model. The record is from RNAcentral. Lineage: Eukaryota; Fungi; Basidiomycota; Tremellomycetes; Tremellales; Tremellaceae.
GACCUCAAAUCAGGUAGGGCUACCCGCUGAACUUAAGCAUAUCAAUAAGCGGAGGAAAAGAAACUAACAAGGAUUCCCUUAGUAACGGCGAGUGAACUGGGAAGAGCUCAAAUUUGGAAUCUGACGUCCUCCGGGCGUCCGAGUUGUAGUCUACAGAAGUGUUUUCUGUGCCGGACCGUGUCCAAGUUCCUUGGAACAGGAUAUCAGAGAGGGUGACAAUCCCGUACUCGACACGGCGACCGACGCUCUGUGAUACAUUCUCUACGAGUCGAGUUGUUUGGGAAUGCAGCUCAAAACGGGUGGUGAGUUCCAUCUAAGGCUAAAUAUUGGCGA